CGGCGCCACAAGUGGCAUCCAUAUUUAUUUGGCCUAAAGCGUCCGUAGCUGGUUUGAUUAAUCUUUUGUGAAAUUGUUGAGCUCAACUCAACAGCGUGCAGAAGACACUAUCAAACUUGGAACCGGGAGGAGUCGAAGGUAUUCCUUGGGGAGCGGUAAAAUGCUAUAAUCCUUGGAAGACCACCUGUGGCGAAGGCGUUCGACUAGAACGGAUUCGACAGUGAGGGACGAAAGCCAGGGGAGCGAUCCGGAUUAGAGACCCGAGUAGUCC
RNAcentral lists this ribosomal RNA (271 nucleotides) under uncultured archaeon. Its description in RNAcentral is "partial 16S ribosomal RNA". It matches the Rfam family "Archaeal small subunit ribosomal RNA", at positions 477 to 747 of the family's 1478-position model. The record is from RNAcentral.